GCACCAGUGAGCGGCUGACUCCGGAGCUCCGGGCUCUGUCGGCCCAACCAGGCUGCCGUGGCCUGUGGGAGGCGCUGCUGGGCUCAUGCCUGCAGCCUCCUGCUGGCUCUGUCUCCUUCCCAGAGAGCCCUCUUUGGAACGAGUCUGGGCUUCACCCGAGUGCUCGAAAAAGCAGGUCACAGCCUGAGCCGGAGGGCGGGCGCAGGGAGGGGAGGCCUCCUGCGUUUGUUUGUGAUCCUCAGAACCUGCCCGCUGGACUCAGGAGAACUUGGGAUCUAGAAAGAAAAACCUCUCUUUUGUCACUUCAUUGGUGUACAUAUGAUUUAAAUCAAAUUACAUAAUUACAAUGAAAGACAUGAGCAGCACGAGCUUCGGGAACAAACACAACUGAUUCUUGAUGUGAAAUUUAGGAGACGGAAGGAUGUUUUAUUGGAACGUGUGACCUGUAGAGUCUGCACUGUGGGGGGAGAGGACUUUUUCAUUGUGGCUGAGGACAGAACACAUUUCUGUACAUGCUAAGAGCAAUGGGCAUCCUCAACAUGAAGGCAGGAGCUGCACCAUUGCCAAGGAAAUAUUUGCUGACAUAUUUAACAGGAACACUGUCCCUGGUCACCUAAUUUCUGUGGUCAGUUCUUCAUCCUCUCGGCAGCCUGCUUCAGGGAGCUGGCAAGAGGCUUAAGGAUAGUUUUGUGGCUGUAACUCCCUGACAUUAGUUCCUAAGCUUCACAUGUUGAAGACUGUGCAAGGCUGGGAAGCCAAGAGGUGCAUGGACAGCGCCAAGAGUUCUUUGCAAAGUUGCCUUGAUGGUAAACUGAGAAUAGGAACCGGUUCAGUUUCCUCCGUCUUCUGUGGACAAUCAGUAGCAGUUGGAUUAUUCACACUUCCAGUGUUGUGGAGACUCUGCACAUUGCUACCCCUUUGUAGGUAAGGAGUCUUUUCUCUCUGG
Oryctolagus cuniculus (rabbit) is the source of this 946-nucleotide non-coding RNA. Lineage: Eukaryota; Metazoa; Chordata; Mammalia; Lagomorpha; Leporidae. The record is from RefSeq and is a predicted model, not a curated record.